GACGAAGGAUGCAAGCGUUUAUCCGGAUUCAUUGGGUUUAAAGGGUGCGUAGGCGGACUUGUAAGUCAGUGGUGAAAUCUCUCAGCUUAACUGAGAAACUGCCAUUGAUACUGCAGGUCUAGAGUAUAGAUGACGUUGGCGGAAUAUGACAUGUAGUGGUGAAAUACUUAGAUAUGUCAUAGAACACCGAUUGCGAAGGCAGCUAACGAAACUAUAACUGACGCUGAGGCACGAAAGUGCGGGGAUCAAACAGG
RNAcentral lists this ribosomal RNA (254 nucleotides) under uncultured bacterium. RNAcentral describes it as "partial 16S ribosomal RNA". It matches the Rfam family "Bacterial small subunit ribosomal RNA", at positions 524 to 776 of the family's 1533-position model. The record is from RNAcentral.